RNAcentral lists this ribosomal RNA (253 nucleotides) under uncultured bacterium. RNAcentral describes it as "partial 16S ribosomal RNA". It matches the Rfam family "Bacterial small subunit ribosomal RNA", at positions 524 to 776 of the family's 1533-position model. The record is from RNAcentral.
UACGAAGGGGGCGAGCGUUGUUCGGAUUUACUGGGCGUAAAGGGCGCGCAGGCGGUCAUUUUUGUCGAGCGUGAAAGCCCCGGGCUUAACCUGGGAACUGCGCUCGAAACGGGAUGACUAGAGAUCGGGAGAGGAGAGUGGAAUUCCCAGUGUAGAGGUGAAAUUCGUAGAUAUUGGGAAGAACACCGGUGGCGAAGGCGGCUCUCUAGUACGGUACUGACGCUGAGACGCGAAAGCGUGGGGAGCGAACAGG